RNAcentral lists this long non-coding RNA (807 nucleotides) under Felis catus (domestic cat). RNAcentral describes it as "lncRNA (ENSFCAG00000050222.1)". The record is from RNAcentral. Lineage: Eukaryota; Metazoa; Chordata; Mammalia; Carnivora; Felidae.
UGGCUGUGUGACCUCAACUAGGUUACUUGACUUCCAUGAGCCUCCAGUUUUCCAAUAGGUAAAAUGAGUGGGGGAAAGUUUCAAGGGUUAUUUGAGAUAAUUUUGGAACAAAAGGGGUCUGGCACAUAGGAAGUGAUUAUUUAGUGGUAACUUUUGUCCUUAUCACUAUUUUCUGUUAUUAUCUAAUUUCUGUUGUCGGGUUCUAUGAUGGCCUUUAAUAUCCUACAGGUUAAAGUCAAGAUAUAGCACAUUCCAGGCUUUUGGGAAUCUGGCCUCGCCCACCUUUUUACCUACACCUUCAACCUUGAACCUUGUAGCCCAAACGAUUUGUGGUUUCCGAAACCUGCUAUUCCCUCCUCGAAUCCAUUUUCCAGUGCCUCUAGUGUGACCUGGCCUCCACCUCUGACUGCCAGAGAACUGAUGAUCAAAGUGGCCAGUAUUCACUGGUGGAAUGAAACCUGGAAAACUGGACAAGAAAAUUAGCACGGCUAUAGGUUCAUUAAGCAAAUGUAUUGAUGCAUAGUUUAGUGAUAUUUGCGAUAGGUUAAAAUGUUGUGUUUAGCUUUGUGCUGUGAAGGACACUUGUGCCAAAGCACUGAAUUUGGUAAUUGAGUUGUUGGUUAUUGAAACUUACAUCCAAGUGUAUUGAUCACCUUUUUAAUCUUUGACUGAAUAUAAAUUUGAUUUGAUGGCUUACAUUUGCAUAUGUCAUAAAAGGACCUUAACCUCUUUUAUGGGGAUUAAGAGAAACCUUUUCUGUUAACUUGUUUUAUUGUUGUUGCCAUGGAGACCACAGGAGGUACAUAA